ACGGUAGCAGGAGAAAGCUUGCUUUCUUGCUGACGAGUGGCGGACGGGUGAGUAAUGCUUGGGGAUCUGUCUUAUGGAGGGGGAUAACGACGGGAAACUGUCGCUAAUACCGCGUAGAGUCGGGAGACGAAAGUGCGGGACCUUAGGGCCGCAUGCCAUGAGAUGAGCCCAAGUGUGAUUAGGUAGUUGGUGGGGUAAAGGCCUACCAAGCCGACGAUCGCUAGCUGGACUGAGAGGAUGGCCAGCCACACCGGGACUGAGACACGGCCCGGACUCCUACGGGAGGCAGCAGUGGGGAAUAUUGCGCAAUGGGGGCAACCCUGACGCAGCCAUGCCGCGUGAAUGAAGAAGGCCUUCGGGUUGUAAAGUUCUUUCGGUGAUGAGGAAGGUUGGUGUGUUAAUAGCAUGCCAACUUGACGUUAAAUACAGAAGAAGCAC
Molecule: ribosomal RNA, 438 nt
Filed under: Aggregatibacter actinomycetemcomitans
Lineage: Bacteria; Pseudomonadati; Pseudomonadota; Gammaproteobacteria; Pasteurellales; Pasteurellaceae
Description: bacterial SSU rRNA
Rfam family: Bacterial small subunit ribosomal RNA
Source: RNAcentral